AAUUAGGGUUCGAUUCCGGAGAGGGAGCCUGAGAAACGGCUACCACAUCCAAGGAAGGCAGCAGGCGCGCAAAUUACCCAAUCCCGACACGGGGAGGUAGUGACAAUAAAUAACAAUACAGGGCUCUUUUGGGUCUUGUAAUUGGAAUGAGUACAAUUUAAAUCCCUUAACGAGGAACAAUUGGAGGGCAAGUCUGGUGCCAGCAGCCGCGGUAAUUCCAGCUCCAAUAGCGUAUAUUAAAGUUGUUGCAGUUAAAAAGCUCGUAGUUGAAUUUCGGGGUUCUACCGUUGGUCGGGCUUUGUCUGUACUGGCGUGUAGAAUUUCUACCUUCUGGGGAACCAUCAUGUUAUUAAUUUAACGUGGUGGGAAACCAGGACCUUUACCUUGAAAAAAUUAGAGUGUUCAAAGCAGGCUUAUGUCUGAAUACAUUAGCAUGGAAUAAUAGAAUAGGACGGUGGUCCUGUUUUGUUGGUUUCUGAAUCACCGUAAUGAUUAAUAGGGAUAGUUGGGGGCAUUAGUAUUCAAUUGUCAGAGGUGAAAUUCUUGGAUUUAUUGAAGACUAACUUCUGCGAAAGCAUUUGCCAAGGAUGUUUUCAUUAAUCAAGAACGAAAGUUAGGGGAUCGAAGACGAUCAGAUACCGUCGUAGUCUUAACCAUAAACUAUGCCGACUAGGGAUCGGACGAUGUUAAUUUUUCUUGACUCGUUCGGCGCCUUACGGGAAACAAGG
RNAcentral lists this ribosomal RNA (728 nucleotides) under Dentiscutata cerradensis. Its description in RNAcentral is "SSU rRNA". It matches the Rfam family "Eukaryotic small subunit ribosomal RNA", at positions 368 to 1102 of the family's 1831-position model. Lineage: Eukaryota; Fungi; Glomeromycota; Glomeromycetes; Diversisporales; Gigasporaceae. The record is from RNAcentral.